AGAUCUGUUUUGGAUGGGUUCAACUAAGGUUCAAGUUUCACUAAGGUUAAGUGAUGGGUUUUUUGAUUUUCAGAUUCAUUUAGAUCUGUUUUGGAUGGGUUCAACUAAGUAAUGGGUUUUUUAUUUUCAGAUUCAUUUAGAUCUGUUUUGGAUGGGUUCAACUAAGGUUCAAGAUUCACUAAGGUUCAACUAAGUGAUGGGUGCUUGGCUGACUUGAAGCUAUCAUAUGUGGUUCUACUUUGAUGAAGUUAAUCUUACAAAAGUUGUGCUUUGAUUUUGAGAUUCCACAGAGUGAUGUAGUGAAGGUG
Long non-coding RNA from Vicia villosa (hairy vetch), 308 nucleotides. RefSeq lists it as uncharacterized. Lineage: Eukaryota; Viridiplantae; Streptophyta; Magnoliopsida; Fabales; Fabaceae. The transcript has 3 exons. The record is from RefSeq and is a predicted model, not a curated record.